UGAGGAGUAAUGCUUUUUUCUCUGCCAGGGUCUUAAUUGCACACAAACAAUAAAUAAAGAGCUUUGUUUGGGGCUUUUAACAUUUUUAUUUUAUGAGGUUUUAUAUGACUUCAGCACAGCCUCCAAAUGAGGCUGUAAUCCCUGCCAACAGAGCCAGGAGUGCAAUAGCUGUCUUCUGCGAGCAUAGACGUGGUCCUCGGCUCCAGCAUAUCAAAGUUCUUCACAUAUUUAUUCCGUGAAGUGGAGAAAUACCCUCUUUCAGAAGGAAACAGUAGCAAAAGAGGAUAAGGAACUUCACCAUUUUCCCAGAGGAAGCUUGUGAUGAAAAUCAUCUCUCAUCUGACAUCACGUCUUUAACCACCCACUCCUGAGGGUUUCAGAGCCCUUUGCAGGCUGGGCUGAAUUAAGCAGAUCCCUGGAAGUGGUUUGUUAUUUCUGACCUGCUUUCUCAGAUAGCGGACGAGCUGAGACGUGGGAAAAUAAGCGGGCAUGGUCAGCAGCGCUGCAGCAAGGGAGCUGCUGAGAUGCAGAGAACAGGACUAUCCAAAACCCAAGCAAACUGUGAGCUCUCCAACCCUCCCACACGGGCGUAAACAGUAAAACCAAUUUCCUUGGCCUUCCAUAGCAUCUCUCAACCAAGACAUUGCCCAAGACUCCGCAUGGUCUGGUGGCCAACACCUCUCUAUUGCAUCACUGUGCAGCUGGUGCCGGAAGAAUGAAACAUUUCAUCAGAAACCAAUUCCACUCCAUCUGGUUUUGACACCAGAAAGGGUUGAGAUCAUCCGGUGGAAGAUGCUAUGGAUGAGUGAAGUCUCUUUAUUGAAUUCCAUGGCCGUGGUAAUGCCAGUUCACUCCUUCCCUCUUGUCUCACAAAACAGCCCUGCAGUGGGGACCAGGCAUUGGUGUGCAGUGACCAUUCCACGGGGUGCUCCCAGAGGAAUUUUGGCCCUACUUUGUAUAGUUUUAGUUUCACAGAGUUAUUGAAUCAUUCAGAUUGGAGAAGACCUCUGAGAUCACCAAGUCCAACCCCAACCCAUCUCACCAUGCCCACUGACCACGUCCCUCAGUGCCACAUCUCCAUGGUUCUGGAACACCUCCAGGGAUGAUGACCCCACCACCUCCCUGGGCAGCUGUGCCAGUGCCUGUCUGCUCUGUUGGAGAAGAAACGUUCCUAAUAUGCAACCUGAAUCUUCGCUGUUGCAUCGUGAGGCCAUCACCUCUCAUCCUCAGCCUCUGCAUCCUCCAGUUUGCAUAUCAAGCAAAUCUUGGG
This 1270-nucleotide long non-coding RNA is filed under the name Gallus gallus (chicken). Its description in RNAcentral is "lncRNA (ENSGALG00010018830.1)". The record is from RNAcentral. Lineage: Eukaryota; Metazoa; Chordata; Aves; Galliformes; Phasianidae.